Molecule: unclassified non-coding RNA, 376 nt
Filed under: uncultured Actinomycetes bacterium
Lineage: Bacteria; Bacillati; Actinomycetota; Actinomycetes
Description: uncultured actinobacterium contains 16S-23S intergenic spacer region
Source: RNAcentral
UCCGAGUUGACCCCGGCAGUCUCCUAUGAGUUCCCACCAUUACGUGCUGGCAACAUAGAACGAGGGUUGCGCUCGUUGCGGGACUUAACCCAACAUCUCACGACACGAGCUGACGACAACCAUGCACCACCUGUAUACCGACCUUGCGGGGCACACAUCUCUGCAUGUUUCCGGUAUAUGUCAAGCCUUGGUAAGGUUCUUCGCGUUGCAUCGAAUUAAUCCGCAUGCUCCGCCGCUUGUGCGGGCCCCCGUCAAUUCCUUUGAGUUUUAGCCUUGCGGCCGUACUCCCCAGGCGGGACACUUAAUGCGUUAGCUUCGGCACGGGAGGAGUCGACACCUCCCACACCUAGUGUCCAUCGUUUACGGCGUGGACUAC